AGAAACCAACAGGGAUUGCCUUAGUAACGGCGAGUGAAGCGGCAAUAGCUCAAAUUUGAAAGCUGGCCCCUUCGGGGUCCGCGUUGUAAUUUGUAGAGGAUGAUUCGGCGAGGGCUCCCGUCUAAGUCCCUUGGAACAGGGCGUCAUAGAGGGUGAGAAUCCCGUAUGUGAUGGGCUGCCUUAGCCAUGUGAAUCUCCUUCGACGAGUCGAGUUGUUUGGGAAUGCAGCUCUAAAUGGGAGGUAAAUUUCUUCUAAAGCUAAAUACCGGCCAGAGACCGAUAGCGCACAAGUAGAGUGAUCGAAAGAUGAAAAGCACUUUGGAAAGAGAGUUAAAAAGUACGUGAAAUUGUUGAAAGGGAAGCGCUUGCAGCCAGACUUGUCCGCAGUUGCUCAGCUUGUCUCCUGACAGGCGUACUCUUCUGCGGCCAGGCCAGCAUCAGUUCGGGCGGUCGGAUAAAGACCUGGGGAAUGUAGCUCCUCUCGGGGAGUGUUAUAGCCCUGGGUGCAAUGCGGCCAGCCUGGACUGAGGAUCUCGCUUCGGCUAGGAUGCUGGCGUAAUGGCUGUAAGCGGCCCGUCUUGAAACACGGACCAAGGAGUCUAACAUCUAUGCGAGUGUUUGGGUGUCAAACCCAUGCGCGUAAUGAAAGUGAACGGAGGUGGGAACCCUCACGGGUGCACCAUCGACCGAUCCUGAUGUCUUCGGAUGGAUUUGAGUAAGAGCAUAGCUGUUGGGACCCGAAAGAUGGUGAACUAUGCCUGAAUAGGGUGAAGCCAGAGGAAACUCUGGUGGAGGCUCGCAGCGGUUCUGACGUGCAAAUCGAUCGUCAAAUUUGGGUAUAGGGGCGAAAGACUAAUCGAACCAUCUAGUAGCUGGUUCCUGCC
This 884-nucleotide ribosomal RNA is filed under the name Neofusicoccum parvum. RNAcentral's name for it is "eukaryotic LSU rRNA". It matches the Rfam family "Eukaryotic large subunit ribosomal RNA", at positions 60 to 962 of the family's 3401-position model. The record is from RNAcentral. Lineage: Eukaryota; Fungi; Ascomycota; Dothideomycetes; Botryosphaeriales; Botryosphaeriaceae.